Molecule: small RNA, 29 nt
Filed under: Bombyx mori (domestic silkworm)
Lineage: Eukaryota; Metazoa; Arthropoda; Insecta; Lepidoptera; Bombycidae
Description: ovarian small RNA-34601
Source: RNAcentral
UGGACUUUAAUAAGUGCUUUUAUUGUGGU